GACGAACGCUGGCGGCGCGCUUAACACAUGCAAGUCGAACGGAAAGGCCCUGCUUUUGUGGGGUGCUCGAGUGGCGAACGGGUGAGUAACACGUGAGUAACCUGCCCUUGACUUUGGGAUAACUUCAGGAAACUGGGGCUAAUACCGUAUAGGAGCUCCUGCUGCAUGGUGGGGGUUGGAAAGUUUCGGCGGUUGGGGAUGGACGCGCGGCUUAUCAGCUUGUUGGUGGGGUAGUGGCUUACCAAGGCUUUGACGGGUAGCCGGCCUGAGAGGGUGACCGGCCACAUUGGGACUGAGAUACGGCCCAGACUCCUACGGGAGGCAGCAGUGGCGAAUAUUGCACAAUGGGCGGAAGUCUGAUGCAGCAACGCCGCGUGCGGGAUGACGGCCUUCGGGUUGUAAACCGCUUUCGCCUGUGACGAAGCGUGAGUGACGGUAAUGGGUAAAGAAGCACCGGCUAACUACGUG
This 468-nucleotide ribosomal RNA is filed under the name uncultured bacterium. Its description in RNAcentral is "partial 16S ribosomal RNA". It matches the Rfam family "Bacterial small subunit ribosomal RNA", at positions 28 to 507 of the family's 1533-position model. The record is from RNAcentral.